This 2011-nucleotide ribosomal RNA is filed under the name human gut metagenome. Its description in RNAcentral is "bacterial LSU rRNA". It matches the Rfam family "Bacterial large subunit ribosomal RNA", at positions 504 to 2555 of the family's 2925-position model. The record is from RNAcentral.
UGAAGGAAAGGUGAAAAGGACCCCGGGAGGGGAGUGAAAGAGAACCUGAAACCCUAUGUUUACAAGCAGAUAGAGCGAUUUAAGGCGCGAUAUCGUACUUUUUGUAGAACGGUCCAGCGAGUUAUUGUAUAUGGCGAGGUUAAGUUCUGAAUAAGGAAUGGAGCCGAAGAGAAAUCGAGUCUGAAUAGGGCGAUAUAAGUCAUAUAUAAUAGACCCGAAACCGGGUGACCUAUCCAUGGUCAGGAUGAAGCUGAAGUAAAAUUCAGUGGAGGUCCGAACUGAUUGUCGUUAAAAAGGCACCGGAUGAACUGUGGAUAGCGGAGAAAUUCCAAUCGAACUCGGAGAUAGCUGGUUCUCCUCGAAAUAGCUUUAGGGCUAGCCUUGAGGUAAAAGAAUUAUGGGGGUAGAGCACUGAAUGAGGUAGGGGCCAAACCAGGUUACUGAACUCUAUCAAACUGCGAAUACCAUAAUUAGAAUACUCAGGAGUCAGACUGCGGGAGCUAAGUUCCGUGGUCAAAAGGGAAAGAGCCCAGACCGACAAUUAAGGUCCCAAAGAUAUAGUUAAGUGGAAAACGAUGUGAAUUUGCAUAAACAACCAGGAUGUUGGCUCAGAAGCAGCCACUCAUUCAAAGAGUGCGUAACAGCUCACUGGUCGAGUGAAUUUGCGCGGAAAAUUACCGGGGCUAAACUAUACACCGAAAUUUCGGAUUUACGUAUGAAAAUAUGUAAGUGGUAGAGGAGCAUUCUGUAGUAGGACGAAGUCAAAGCGAAAGCAUUGGUGGACGAGGCAGAAGAGAGAAUGCUGGAAUAAGUAGCGAGAGCAAGGUGAGAAUCCUUGCCGUCGAAAGUCUAAGGUUUCCUGGGGAAGGUUCGUCCGCCCAGGGUAAGUCGGGGCCUAAGGAGAGGCCGAAAGGCGUAUCUGAUGGAUAGCAGGUGGAGAUUCCUGCACUAUAGCUAGUUUUAAAAGAUGCAAGGGACGCAGUAGAGGAAGAUAACCAAGGAAGAGGAAAGACUUGGUCCGCAAGGGAUAGUGAAAAUUAAUAGUAACGAAAUAUCAAGAAUCACACUGACGAGAAAAGCUUGUAGAUAUUAACUAGAAAUACCCGUACCGCAAACCGACACAGGUAGAUGAGGAGAGGAUCCUAAGACGAGCGGGAGAAGCAUUGUUAAGGAACUCGGCAAAAUAACCCCGUAACUUCGGGAGAAGGGGAACCUAAGUAAAAUUAGGUCGCAGAGAAAAGGCCCAAGCAACUGUUUAACAAAAACACAGGUUUCUGCUAAAUCGAAAGAUGAAGUAUAGGAGCUGACGCCUGCCCAGUGCUGGAAGGUUAAGGGAAAGAGUUAGAUGUAAGUCGAAGCUUAGAACUAAAGCCCCAGUGAACGGCGGCCGUAACUAUAACGGUCCUAAGGUAGCGAAAUUCCUUGUCAGGUAAGUUCUGACCCGCACGAAAGGCGUAAUGAUUUGGGCACUGUCUCGACAAUGUACCCGGCGAAAUUGUAGUACUAGUGAAGAUGCUAGUUACCUGCGACAAGACAGAAAGACCCCAUGGAGCUUUACUGCAGUUUGAUACUGGGUUUCGAUAAGUUAUGUACAGGAUAGGUGGGAGACAAAGAAAGAAAGGCGUCAGCUUUUCCGGAGUCACCGUUGGGAUACCACCCUUAAUUUGUUGGAAUUCUAACUAGUGGUCAUGAUCUGGCCAGAGGACAAUGUCAGACGGGCAGUUUGACUGGGGCGGUCGCCUCCAAAAGAGUAACGGAGGCGCCCAAAGGUUCCCUCAGUGCGGACAGAAAUCGCACGAAAGAGUGUAAAGGCAGAAGGGAGCUUAACUGGAAGAUAGACAUAUCGAGCAGAUACGAAAGUAGGGCUUAGUGAUCCGGUGGAUAUUGAAUGGAAAAGCCAUCGCUCAACGGACAAAAGUUACCCUGGGGAUAACAGGCUUAUCUCCCCCAAGAGUUCACAUCGACGGGGAGGUUUGGCACCUCGAUGUCGGCUCAUCGCAUCCUGGGGCUG